GCCCGUAAGUAUCUGCAGUCGCAGAAAGAAGCCCCUCCCGUCCGUCCGUCGCCCUCACUGCAGAGGUUCCUCAUGCAUGCAUACAUCGUUAGUGAAUGCCGCCUGCCUGCAAGAAAGACUUCAGUCAACCGCAGCAGCUUCAGACGAAAGUGAGCAAGCCUGUC
This 164-nucleotide non-coding RNA is filed under the name Chromera velia. Lineage: Eukaryota; Chromeraceae. The record is from RNAcentral.